This 551-nucleotide unclassified non-coding RNA is filed under the name Sarocladium subulatum. RNAcentral describes it as "sequence contains 18S rRNA gene, ITS1, 5.8S rRNA gene and ITS2". The stretch from base 177 to 330 matches the Rfam family "5.8S ribosomal RNA". The record is from RNAcentral. Lineage: Eukaryota; Fungi; Ascomycota; Sordariomycetes; Hypocreales; Sarocladiaceae.
GGGAUCAUUACCAGAGUGCCUUUUGGCUCUCCAACCCACUGUGAACAUACCUACGUUUCCCUCGGCGGGCUCAGCGCGCGGCGGUACUCCCGCCUCGCGUCCGCCGGGGGCCCCCAAACUCGAAUUUACUACGUGUAUCUCUGAGGGGCGAAAGCCCGUAAAACAAAAUGAAUCAAAACUUUCAACAACGGAUCUCUUGGCUCUGGCAUCGAUGAAGAACGCAGCGAAAUGCGAUAAGUAAUGUGAAUUGCAGAAUUCAGUGAAUCAUCGAAUCUUUGAACGCACAUUGCGCCCGCCGGCACUCCGGCGGGCAUGCCUGUCCGAGCGUCAUUUCAACCCUCGGGCCCACCCUUCGCGGGGAUCGGGCCCGGCGUUGGGGACCGGAGGCCGCCUCGGCGGCACCCGCCCCCUAAAUUCAGUGGCGGUCGCGCCGCAGCCUCCCCUGCGUAGUAGCACACCUCGCACCGGAGAGCGGCACGGCCACGCCUCGAAACCCCCCAAUUUAUCAAGGUUGACCUCGGAUCAGGUAGGAAUACCCGCUGAACUUAAGC